This is a non-coding RNA of Cinara cedri, 240 nucleotides long. NCBI's taxonomy places the organism in Eukaryota, Metazoa, Arthropoda, Insecta, Hemiptera, Aphididae. The record is from the annotation of a GenBank genome assembly.
CUCGAGAAUCGGAGAAGUUUUUUCCGGUGAUGAUAAAAAUUCGGUUGAAUUUAAAGAGAUUUUUAACUUUAUAAAUCCCUGCAGAACCCGAUCCCGAAUAAAUUAGCUUUAGUAGUAGCGCGUUAGUAUCAAGAAUCUGCCUUUUGAGGGUUUUUUUAACUUUUAACUCUCACUCGUGCCAUUUGUAUGAUCAAAUGUCAUAAUUUUUAUUUUGGAAGUAGUAUAAGAUGUUGGUGUGUG